CAGGCUUGGGGUCUCAGAAGGCAGCGCUCUCAGGGCACCUCCACCAUGGCCUGGGCUCUGCUCCUCCUCAGCCUCCUCUCUCAGGGCACAGGGUCCUGGGCCCAGGCUCCCCUCACUCAGCCUCCCUCAGUGUCUGGGACUCCUGGGUCUUCAGUCACCAUCUCCUGUGCUGGAAGUAGCAAUGACAUUGGGUAUUAUAAUGAUGUCUCCUGGUACCAACAUCGCCCGGGCACGGCCCCUAAACUCCUGAUUUAUGGUGUCAGCUAUCGGCCCUCGGGGAUCCCUGAGCGCUUCUCUGGCUCCAAGUCUGGCAACACGGCCACCCUGAUCAUCGCUGGGCUCCUGGCCGAGGACGAGGCCGAUUAUCACUGUUUCUCCUAUGUGGGCAGCAACACUCUCCACGGUGCUGCGGGCUCCUGGGGAAUUCAACAGAAAAACACUUUGUCGUGA
Molecule: non-coding RNA, 450 nt
Organism: Myotis brandtii (Brandt's bat)
Lineage: Eukaryota; Metazoa; Chordata; Mammalia; Chiroptera; Vespertilionidae
Source: the annotation of a RefSeq genome assembly